UAUAUAUAUAUAUAUAUAUAACAGAACAGGUAAACUGUUCUGCAGAUAGGUUUUCUAAUGUGCCUUAAUAUCUCACCUUGCUAUGUGCAAAGUAGGGCUCGAUUAGAAUUGCAAAACAAAUAUAUCAUUAUCCAUAAUCAUGGAACCAAUUCUCACUCAAAUGACUUCUAUAAACUGGAAAAAAAAAAAAGCAAGAGCGCGAAAUCAUGCUGCUAACCCCGCCCCUCACAUUAACGUUUACAGGUAGUAACUUUUAAUACGAAAUGGAUCGUGCAACAACUUAGCAUAAACAAAAAAUUAAGGUUUCAGUAUUCUAGGAUGUUAACAUUGUCUUCAGUGUUCUAGAAUGUCAAUAUUAGUAUUUAAGUAUUCUAGAAUGUAAAUUUAAAAAAAAGCUAUAUUCUAGAAUGUCAAAAUAACAAUUUUCAGUGUCCUAGAAUGUCAGUACUCGGAUUUCAGUAUUUUAUCAUGUAAAAAAUAAAUAAAUAAAAUAAAUAUCCACAUUCUAGAACGCCAAAACUAUUCUUUUAGUGUUCUAGAAUGUCAAUCGUUGGGUUUCAGUAUUCAGUAAUGUUCACAACUAAUGAUUCAGUACUCUAGAAUGUCAAAAAAACAAAACAAAACAAAAAAAAAACGUGGACACACAGUCGCUUACCUUCCCUAUUAUAGAUCUCCACGCAGUGGUCAGUAUUUUUCCUGCUCAUGCUGUAGUGCCGGAGCAGUGCGCAGUACAGGAGACCGCUCCUACUUUCGGUUAUCUAGCUUUAUGACGGAGGAGAAACACUCAUACAGCUAGAUAACCAAAGAUAGCAACCGACCCCAUCACACACGACACAAGUAACGAGGAGCAUCUCGUAAGAGCAGACCUGAUAAUGAACAAAGAAUAGGUUAACAUGUUAGCAAACGAAUAAAGAGAGGCAGUUUGGUUUUUAUUGCACUCUGAAUCACAGCUCCGCACAUUUGUAUUAACGAAGCCUGAGCAUUUAUUCAACGUCAUCAGCAGAGUUGCCUGUGCUGCCGUUUUGUAGGGUUGUCAUUCAUUUAGCUCCUUUAGACUCGAAUAGUCCCUGUCCUCUAAUAACAGCCAGCACAAGAUUAAUAUUCCUAAAAUAUAUAAUUUUAUCUGUCCUGUUAGCCUUCAGUCCUCAUGAUCUCUUUGGCCCUUUACGCGCUCCCUCUCUGUGUUUGCACAAAAUGGACAGACGUGUUCAUUUUUAGAUGAAAGAAUAAACAUUAAAGUCUGAAUAGAAAUCUCAUUGCGAGCAGAAGAAGUUUAAAUUAUUGUGUUUAUUGAUAGUCAUUAUUACUGAUAUUGUCCCAUGACUUAUACCAUAAUUAAACCAAAAGUAAGAAUACAACGCAUAAGUAUUAACAAGGUUAUAUUAAAAUCGUUAUGUAAUGCCCCCUCCCUAAGUAAGUAACAUUUAAUAGCCGGAAAAUUGUUUUUAUUUAGUGUAUUUUACUCAGAGCAUGGCGCCAUAACUUGCCAAGUUGUACUGAUUAGAUAGACAUUACAAUGAGCUAAAUGUAACUUCAGUUUAGAAUCCAAACAAUUUUAUUAUCUUGUAAAACAAUACUGACAUAAACGGAAACAUUAUUGUUGUUAAUAUUUGUUGUUAACGGAAACGUUAUUGUUGUUCUAACAUCACUGAUGACAAAAAAUAAAAUUAUAUGGGCCUAACAAUAAAAGUCUAAGUAGUUUUCUUCUUCUUCUUCUUCUUCUUCUUCUUCUUCUUCUUAAAUAAAUGAUUAGGAAUUUAAUGAGGCUUUAAAAAAAGUGUUAUAAUUUAGCUACUCUAAAUUUAGACACCACCCCUUAAUAAUGACCCUACAAUUCUCUGGAGCGCGCGCGACAUAUGACGUCAUAGGAUUUGAUUUCUUUGUGACUGCUUGGCUUACCUGUUGUGUUGCAUCUUAAAUAAGAUUUAUAAAGCAGGUAUAUUGAUUUAGACUGAUGCAUAUACUGCAUGACAACAAUUGAAUAACAAAAUAAGAAGAACAAACAAGCCCACCUUCAUGUUAUAUAAAUAUAACAAAUCAUAUGAUUACAAUCACAUAAUAUUUAAGAUAUGCAUGCAAUAAUGAACACUUUAAUUUUUGCAGUUUUUUAACCUUUAAAACACAUUUCCUUACAAUGUAACAGAGUUCAAAGAACGCCAACAUUAAUAGUCUGAAGUACAUUUUGAAAACAUUUUAUUACACUAUCUCUCAUUAUGUAAACAUCUUAUUGGCCUAUAUGCCAUUAUUGCACCCUUAUGCAGGUCGUACACUGAACUUGUGGAAGGGUUUUGACAUCCACAGUGUUACAGGAGUCGGAUUUACUACAGGUUAUUUCUACACGCUCUUAUAUGUCGUUAUAAUGAACAUUACUAUAUACACGGCAAAAUAAUGUUUGUUUCUAAUAGUUAACACUGUAUUGCAGAUUAACGCACGACAUGUUUAGCAAUAGCCUAUUGCUUUUUCACUGCCUCUGUUUCACAGUGUAAUAGGCUUAGGAACAUGGAAAGGAAUUGUUAGCACUUUGUCUGGCCUCCUCUCAGUCUGUACAGGAGAUAACUAUUCAAACAUUUACGUGUCUCCAUUUAUAAACUUAAAAAUAACUAUAAUCGCAUACUGGAUUGUGACCAUUCUAUAUAAUGAUCAUACAAUAAUGAGCGCGUUAAUAUGAUCCAGAGGUCAAGUGCAAUUCCUCACAAUGAAAUAUGAAGUCUUACUUUUUUUUAUGAUGCCGUGCGUAUUCCUUUCUGUCGUGCUCAGGAUGCAAAGUGUUAAGUGCCCGAGUGUUGUGCACAUCUAAGUGGUCUUCUCUGUGUCUGUCAAGCACGAUACUGCUGCGCAAGAUGCGUUACCAGCACUGUGUGUUGUACUUCUGAAAUCUUCACUGCCAAAAAUAAAAGAAAUCGUGAUCGUCAAUGGCACCAGCCAUGGCGGGUUUUCCUCUGUAAGUCCGCGAAGCCUGGGAUGGCGUUUCUUUAAGAUCCAGUGAGCAGGAACAUGGGCAGUUUAUUUCCAACAUGGGGGAUUUCCUCCCAUGAAACAGCCUGGGGUUUGUGAUUUAUUUAAGAUGCACGUGGCUUUGUCUGACCUUUCACAGUCAGAUGUAAGCUUCAAGCUGGAGCGGACUCUUCCGUGCGUGUGGUGCGAUGCUCUCUCUCUGGCUCAGGAGUCUCUAGUUUUCGGGUCUAAAAGCCUGC
Molecule: long non-coding RNA, 3194 nt
Organism: Ictalurus punctatus (channel catfish)
Lineage: Eukaryota; Metazoa; Chordata; Actinopteri; Siluriformes; Ictaluridae
Source: Ensembl